Molecule: transfer RNA, 74 nt
Filed under: Chloropicon laureae
Lineage: Eukaryota; Viridiplantae; Chlorophyta; Chloropicophyceae; Chloropicales; Chloropicaceae
Also listed under: 4 other names
Description: tRNA-Ile
Rfam family: tRNA
About the family: Transfer RNA (tRNA) molecules are approximately 80 nucleotides in length. Their secondary structure includes four short double-helical elements and three loops (D, anti-codon, and T loops).
Source: RNAcentral
GGGCUUAUAGUUUAAUUGGUUAAAACUGACCGCUCAUAACGGUCACAAUGCAGGUUCAAGUCCUGCUGGGCCUA